UACGGAGACCUCGAGCGUUACUCGGAUUUACUGGGCGUAAAGGGUGAGCAGGCGGCCAAGUGUGUCAGGUGUGAAAUCCCGGGGCUUAACCCCGGAACUGCGCCUGAAACUACUUGGCUAGAGUCUCGGAGAGGACAGUGGAAUUCUAGGUGUAGCGGUGAAAUGCGUAGAUAUCUAGAGGAACACCAGUGGCGAAGGCGACUGUCUGGACGAGUACUGACGCUCAAUCACGAAAGCGUGGGUAGCGAAA
RNAcentral lists this ribosomal RNA (250 nucleotides) under uncultured bacterium. RNAcentral describes it as "partial 16S ribosomal RNA". It matches the Rfam family "Bacterial small subunit ribosomal RNA", at positions 524 to 773 of the family's 1533-position model. The record is from RNAcentral.